AUGUGUAGGGCGAAGCGAGAAGGAGGAAUGGGCUUUCAGGAUCCAGAGGCUUUUAAUCAAGCUUUGCUGGCCAAACAAGCCUGGCGAGUGCUGCAGUGCCCGGAUUCUUUGUAUGAUAGGGUGCUCAAGGCAAGGUAUUUCCCCCAAGGAUCGAUCUUGAAUGCCACAUGCCCUGCAGGGGGCUCGUUCACUUUCAGAAGUAUUAUACAUGGC
RNAcentral lists this ribosomal RNA (213 nucleotides) under Triticum aestivum (bread wheat). RNAcentral's name for it is "partial small subunit ribosomal RNA". Lineage: Eukaryota; Viridiplantae; Streptophyta; Magnoliopsida; Poales; Poaceae. The record is from RNAcentral.